GACGAACCGAGCGACCGUUAUUCGGAAUCACUGGGCUUAAAGGGUGCGUAGGCGGGCUCGUGAGUCAGGGGUGAAAUCCCACGGCCCAACCGUGGAAGUGCCUCUGAUACCGCGGGCCUAGAGGGGGACAGGGGCAUGCGGAACUUCCGGUGGAGCGGUGAAAUGCGUAGAUAUCGGAAGGAACACCGGUGGCGAAAGCGGCGUGCUGGAUCCCUACUGACGCUGAGGCACGAAAGCCAGGGGAGCAAACGGG
Molecule: ribosomal RNA, 253 nt
Filed under: uncultured bacterium
Lineage: Bacteria
Description: partial 16S ribosomal RNA
Rfam family: Bacterial small subunit ribosomal RNA
Source: RNAcentral